GUGAACCGAAUCCAUGCCAUGAGACUUCUAGGUUGGAAAAUUUAGGGUAAGAAUCUUCAGCCAGAAACACGAUUCGAAACUCCCCUCCUCAAAUUGAUUUCGCGCUCAAUCACCUCAAGAAAUCCAGAAAUCGCUAUACUCGUUUUAAUGGAGAAUCAAGAGCAAAACUCAAAUCCGCGUUCGAGCUCAAUCAUCGAAUCACAAUCAAACAACAUGAAUUUGAACUGAAAUUGAACUCUUACUCUCGUUCUUUCACAUGGAUAAGCAAAUGGAAAAGAAAGACUUACUUGGUUUGAUGUAGAGGCAUGAAUUUCGUUCGCCGACGUCUUUACGGAUUCGCACUCGUGCGCGUCGGAUGAUGAUGACGAUGUCCUGCUAAUUAUUGGUCGAGGUGAAGACGGUGAAUGAUUUAGGGAAAAGGGCGUCGAGCAGCUAAUCGAAAUUCGCCGGGCGCAACCUCAUUGCGAUUCCCGUGGACUUUCACUAAUUGGCGGAAUCGGAGCAUCCAGCGAAUUCGGUUAGGGAGUGUCCGGUUCUGUUUUGGAGGCUCCUCCCUCGCGACUCAGGAAUUAGCUCCCUUCGCCUCCAUCAAGAUGCUUCUCUAUCUUCUUUCCAAUCGCAAGGUGCAACCUUGUGCGGAUUGAAUCCGAUGCCAGUGAAAAGAGGGAUUAUGUGACUCUGUUAGGUAGGAACAAAGUGAAGAUGAAAUGGAGUCAUCCUGCAGAAUGCAGUUUCCGAAGGUUGAAGUGUGAAGGGAUUGAAGGUUGGUGAAGAUGGCGGUGCAGUGUAAUUUGAAGUCAUGGGAUUGUGCUCUUGACUAUGAAUCAAGAGGAAUGAUGGUGAAGAAUGAAGAGGGAGAAUAGUGAAGAAUGAAGGUGAGGAAUUUUGGAGUGAAAAUGAAGAUGAUGAUUUGAAGAAAGAUUGGAGAAUUUGAAGAAGUGAUUGAAGCCCCUUGAAUUGAGGAAGCAGACAGGAUGGCACGGUUUCGCUGCAGGCGUGGCGAGUGUUUGGUUUCGGAGGCUGUUUGGAUUUUGUAGCGUGACCGGAUACAGGGUAACAUAUAAGCAAAGUCCGCACUGCCUGUUGCAGGUCUGGUCUUCGCAUCCCGGUUGUGUAUGAUGAUGCCGGUUCCUGUGUUUUGCAAUGCUUUUGCUGUUUCGUUAUAUAGAGAGAGGUUUUUUCCAUUAGAGUCUCUCUUACGUGAAGCAUUUUCGGCUAAAGCCGCAGCAACCCGAGAGGAAUGGUCACUAGCAUCCAUUGGAUUCAAUGAGAUGGCGAGUGAACUCAAAAGGAGUGAAGCAUCGGGAAAUUUCUCCACUGUAGGGGAAGAUGAAUGUGGUCUAUUAUUUAUAUCAUUUUUUAUAAGUGUUUAUGUUUAAAUGGAAUGUUUAUGGUGUGCUUCAUGAAUGAGUUUUGUAUGGUUCUUUCAAUGCUAUGGACAGCCUGGCAUAAGGCAGCGCAAAACCACAGCCACCGAACUUCACAUAGUGAGAAAUAAAGGACACGAGGUUAUUCUGGUAUUAAUCUGGAACUGAGAUGAUGGAUGAAUUUGGUAUAAUAUGGUUUGAAUUUUUAAUGGGUUUGGUUUAAAUUAUGAGUGGAUAUUGAAUUAAUUUGAUUUUGUAUUUUGUUGCAAUAGUGCAAUGUGAAACAAAUAGAAUUUAGAAAUAGAAUGGAUUUGCAAAUGA
Molecule: long non-coding RNA, 1688 nt
Organism: Lathyrus oleraceus (garden pea)
Lineage: Eukaryota; Viridiplantae; Streptophyta; Magnoliopsida; Fabales; Fabaceae
Exons: 3
Source: RefSeq, a predicted model, not a curated record